GACGAACGCUGGCGGCGUGCUUAACACAUGCAAGUCGAACGGAAAGGCCCUUCGGGGUACUCGAGUGGCGAACGGGUGAGUAACACGUGGGUGAUCUGCCCUGCACUUUGGGAUAAGCCUGGGAAACUGGGUCUAAUACCGAAUACACCUUGCUGGAUGCAUGUCUGGUGGGGGAAAGCUUUUGCGGUGUGGGAUGGGCCCGCGGCCUAUCAGCUUGUUGGUGAGGUUACGGCUCACCAAGGCGACGACGGGUAGCCGGCCUGAGAGGGUGUCCGGCCACACUGGGACUGAGAUACGGCCCAGACACCUACGGGAGGCAG
This 320-nucleotide ribosomal RNA is filed under the name uncultured Actinomycetes bacterium. RNAcentral's name for it is "bacterial SSU rRNA". It matches the Rfam family "Bacterial small subunit ribosomal RNA", at positions 28 to 351 of the family's 1533-position model. The record is from RNAcentral. Lineage: Bacteria; Bacillati; Actinomycetota; Actinomycetes.